RNAcentral lists this ribosomal RNA (2773 nucleotides) under Escherichia coli 7996-1. Its description in RNAcentral is "bacterial LSU rRNA". It matches the Rfam family "Bacterial large subunit ribosomal RNA". The record is from RNAcentral. Lineage: Bacteria; Pseudomonadati; Pseudomonadota; Gammaproteobacteria; Enterobacterales; Enterobacteriaceae.
AGCGUACACGGUGGAUGCCCUGGCAGUCAGAGGCGAUGAAGGACGUGCUAAUCUGCGAUAAGCGUCGGUGAGGUGAUAUGAACCGUUAUAACCGGCGAUUUCCGAAUGGGGAAACCCAGUGUGAUUCGUCACACUAUCAUUAACUGAAUCCAUAGGUUAAUGAGGCGAACCGGGGGAACUGAAACAUCUAAGUACCCCGAGGAAAAGAAAUCAACCGAGAUUCCCCCAGUAGCGGCGAGCGAACGGGGAGGAGCCCAGAGCCUGAAUCAGUGUGUGUGUUAGUGGAAGCGUCUGGAAAGGCGCGCGAUACAGGGUGACAGCCCCGUACACAAAAAUGCACAUGCUGUGAGCUCGAUGAGUAGGGCGGGACACGUGGUAUCCUGUCUGAAUAUGGGGGGACCAUCCUCCAAGGCUAAAUACUCCUGACUGACCGAUAGUGAACCAGUACCGUGAGGGAAAGGCGAAAAGAACCCCGGCGAGGGGAGUGAAAAAGAACCUGAAACCGUGUACGUACAAGCAGUGGGAGCCUCUUAAUGGGGUGACUGCGUACCUUUUGUAUAAUGGGUCAGCGACUUAUAUUCUGUAGCAAGGUUAACCGAAUAGGGGAGCCGAAGGGAAACCGAGUCUUAACUGGGCGUUAAGUUGCAGGGUAUAGACCCGAAACCCGGUGAUCUAGCCAUGGGCAGGUUGAAGGUUGGGUAACACUAACUGGAGGACCGAACCGACUAAUGUUGAAAAAUUAGCGGAUGACUUGUGGCUGGGGGUGAAAGGCCAAUCAAACCGGGAGAUAGCUGGUUCUCCCCGAAAGCUAUUUAGGUAGCGCCUCGUGAAUUCAUCUCCGGGGGUAGAGCACUGUUUCGGCAAGGGGGUCAUCCCGACUUACCAACCCGAUGCAAACUGCGAAUACCGGAGAAUGUUAUCACGGGAGACACACGGCGGGUGCUAACGUCCGUCGUGAAGAGGGAAACAACCCAGACCGCCAGCUAAGGUCCCAAAGUCAUGGUUAAGUGGGAAACGAUGUGGGAAGGCCCAGACAGCCAGGAUGUUGGCUUAGAAGCAGCCAUCAUUUAAAGAAAGCGUAAUAGCUCACUGGUCGAGUCGGCCUGCGCGGAAGAUGUAACGGGGCUAAACCAUGCACCGAAGCUGCGGCAGCGACACUAUGUGUUGUUGGGUAGGGGAGCGUUCUGUAAGCCUGUGAAGGUGGCCUGUGAGGGUUGCUGGAGGUAUCAGAAGUGCGAAUGCUGACAUAAGUAACGAUAAAGCGGGUGAAAAGCCCGCUCGCCGGAAGACCAAGGGUUCCUGUCCAACGUUAAUCGGGGCAGGGUGAGUCGACCCCUAAGGCGAGGCCGAAAGGCGUAGUCGAUGGGAAACAGGUUAAUAUUCCUGUACUUGGUGUUACUGCGAAGGGGGGACGGAGAAGGCUAUGUUGGCCGGGCGACGGUUGUCCCGGUUUAAGCGUGUAGGCUGGUUUUCCAGGCAAAUCCGGAAAACCAAGGCUGAGGCGUGAUGACGAGGCACUACGGUGCUGAAGUGACAAAUGCCCUGCUUCCAGGAAAAGCCUCUAAGCAUCAGGUAACAUCAAAUCGUACCCCAAACCGACACAGGUGGUCAGGUAGAGAAUACCAAGGCGCUUGAGAGAACUCGGGUGAAGGAACUAGGCAAAAUGGUGCCGUAACUUCGGGAGAAGGCACGCUGAUAUGUAGGUGAAGCGACUUGCUCGUGGAGCUGAAAUCAGUCGAAGAUACCAGCUGGCUGCAACUGUUUAUUAAAAACACAGCACUGUGCAAACACGAAAGUGGACGUAUACGGUGUGACGCCUGCCCGGUGCCGGAAGGUUAAUUGAUGGGGUUAGCGGUAACGCGAAGCUCUUGAUCGAAGCCCCGGUAAACGGCGGCCGUAACUAUAACGGUCCUAAGGUAGCGAAAUUCCUUGUCGGGUAAGUUCCGACCUGCACGAAUGGCGUAAUGAUGGCCAGGCUGUCUCCACCCGAGACUCAGUGAAAUUGAACUCGCUGUGAAGAUGCAGUGUACCCGCGGCAAGACGGAAAGACCCCGUGAACCUUUACUAUAGCUUGACACUGAACAUUGAGCCUUGAUGUGUAGGAUAGGUGGGAGGCUUUGAAGUGUGGACGCCAGUCUGCAUGGAGCCGACCUUGAAAUACCACCCUUUAAUGUUUGAUGUUCUAACGUUGGCCCCUAAUCGGGGUUGCGGACAGUGUCUGGUGGGUAGUUUGACUGGGGCGGUCUCCUCCUAAAGAGUAACGGAGGAGCACGAAGGUUGGCUAAUCCUGGUCGGACAUCAGGAGGUUAGUGCAAUGGCAUAAGCCAGCUUGACUGCGAGCGUGACGGCGCGAGCAGGUGCGAAAGCAGGUCAUAGUGAUCCGGUGGUUCUGAAUGGAAGGGCCAUCGCUCAACGGAUAAAAGGUACUCCGGGGAUAACAGGCUGAUACCGCCCAAGAGUUCAUAUCGACGGCGGUGUUUGGCACCUCGAUGUCGGCUCAUCACAUCCUGGGGCUGAAGUAGGUCCCAAGGGUAUGGCUGUUCGCCAUUUAAAGUGGUACGCGAGCUGGGUUUAGAACGUCGUGAGACAGUUCGGUCCCUAUCUGCCGUGGGCGCUGGAGAACUGAGGGGGGCUGCUCCUAGUACGAGAGGACCGGAGUGGACGCAUCACUGGUGUUCGGGUUGUCAUGCCAAUGGCACUGCCCGGUAGCUAAAUGCGGAAGAGAUAAGUGCUGAAAGCAUCUAAGCACGAAACUUGCCCCGAGAUGAGUUCU